AGAGAUCCUUUUGGCUGACCAAAUGAGAGAAAGACAACAACCAACCUCAUUUUUUUUCACAUCCAUGAGCUUAGUAUGUUACUACUAUUUUAUUUGAUGUUCUCUGGAAUUUACUAACUACUUUCUCUUCUUAAUAUACUUCUUGAAGCCAGUUGUGUCACUAGUCAUAACAAAACCAUUUUUUGAUUUUCUCUGAACAUAGAAUUUUAUCAAGAUGACAGAAAAUCAAACUUUUCGAGUGUCCUUAUUUGACAAGCAUAUCGAAACAGCAUGGAGGAACUACAGGUUCCUCCAUUUCCCAAUAAAUACUGGAGGUAAUGAGAAGUCUACACAUGGAAAUCACUGGACCUUGCUUGUCCUGGACAAACAAGACAAUUUAUGGAGGUUCUACAACUCACUAAGGCCAAGGAGAGAUGAUGCAGAAGACAAAUAUGUCAAAGAUGCAAAAGAAUUGCAAGAUUACGUGGAGAAUUUUUUGAAAGCUUGCCUUGAAAGAGUCGCUCAAUCACAACCCCCUUUCAAAUUAAUAAACUCACAAAACACAAGUUACGACUUUGAGUAUGU
Non-coding RNA from Camellia sinensis, 564 nucleotides. The record is from RefSeq and is a predicted model, not a curated record. Lineage: Eukaryota; Viridiplantae; Streptophyta; Magnoliopsida; Ericales; Theaceae.